This is a long non-coding RNA of Hibiscus syriacus, 152 nucleotides long. RefSeq lists it as uncharacterized. The transcript is spliced from 2 exons. The record is from RefSeq and is a predicted model, not a curated record. NCBI's taxonomy places the organism in Eukaryota, Viridiplantae, Streptophyta, Magnoliopsida, Malvales, Malvaceae.
AAACUAUAGGAUUUCUGAGCUUGCUGCAAUUGGUGCACAGAGAAAAACAUGCUCGACCAAUGCGAAGCGCUGUUGUCUUCAACAGCAGCUAUGCAAUUGGAAGAAUGCAGCCUUAUGGCUCAUCUCACGCAAACAAAACAACCUUCGAAGAA